This 5170-nucleotide long non-coding RNA is filed under the name Canis lupus familiaris (dog). RNAcentral's name for it is "lncRNA (ENSCAFG00030010772.1)". Lineage: Eukaryota; Metazoa; Chordata; Mammalia; Carnivora; Canidae. The record is from RNAcentral.
CUAAUCAGUAUUUGGAUUGUUCUGGAUAAGUCCCGUCAUUCACAGUGAUAGCUCCCAGCUUCCACCAUCCCCACCAGGCAUGAUUGUUUAGUUUGAGAGCUGUUCCCUUGGGAGUCACUGGUGUGCUAUUACUUUUGUCAGCUUUAAAAAAUAAUGAUUCUGUGUUCCUGAUGUUUUGAUUUUUGGGGGUUUUAAAAGCAUCUGUGUUUUUGAGCUGAAAAUUAAAAGCAUUGUGGAGGUACUGGUGGUAUUACCCAUUAGGACAGAAUAGGACAUAUAAUUUAUUAUAAGAUGUGAAAAUUUUUCUCUGGUUCCUAACAUUUUCCCUCUAAAGAAUGCUUUUUCUUUCUUUAUAUUCUAUUAUGUAUUUUAAACACCCACUGUGUCAUUUAAAGCGACAUAGCUCUGAUGGGCAAGAUCAUGUCUGAUAUAACCUUUCAUGCCAUCUUGGUCUUACCCUGCUUUGCACAACAGAGGUACCAAGGCUUGGCCCUAAGAAGAUGGGGCUAUUUUUCUGUUAUGGUUUAAGACAUGCUCAAAAGACCUCCUGCUGCUUUCCUUACACCCCAAAUCACACAAGUAGUGAGUUAGGCUUUUAAGUCUUGACUUUUCAUGAGUUUCUGUUGAAAUAUGAACGUCUAGGAUGGCGAGCGGCGGUCACCCAGAGUCUUACCAGGGUUUCCUGGAGGACGGAGCAGAAUGACCAGGCUGGUGAGGGCUCAUUACUGCUGGGCCUCAGGGAAUGGCAGGCAGGAAGCUGCCCUCACCAAGGAUUUUCCACCGCUGACCCUGGGUCUGCAGUGACAGCAGCUCGAUUGCACAGGGCGGUAAAGUUAUUCAGAAAAGACCAGGGAUAAUGCACAUACAUCUUCCCUGCUCGAAGCUAACAGGCAGCUUCCUUCUGGGAUUUGCUCUCUCUACCAAUUAACUUAUAAUCUAUUCCACUUCCUCUUCCCUUACCUGCCAGUCACUGCUCUUUUCAGGGAUGACUGCUGCGAAGAGAGGACGAUUUUCUCCCCAGGUGUUUGUGACAGUUCCAUCCCACCUUUCCGUGACCGCGCGACCCUCCCAGCUCUCGGCCAUCAUCUUCUCGCUUUCUCACUUCUUGUUCUGCUACUCACACAUUUUGGAAAGUGUUGGUGAAGGUGCAGAGAAGUCCUCAUUUCCAAAGAUGUUUACCAGCACCAGGACACCUAGCGCAGUGCCUUGCAUGUGGUAUACACCAUACUCGUGUAGCUGUGUGGACGGGAACCAACCUAGUACAAGAGGCUUGUUUGUGCACAGGAGAGUGAGCAGGUGAUGGUAGAUAAGACCGAAAGGUUACACUCACCGGCAAACAUUUUUACACUUUAUUUAAUCCACUAUUUGCAACUAGUUGACCCAGUGAUGUUGGUUUAAAGCAGUGCUGUUCAGCCUUGGUCAGACACUGUGAUCACCUGAAGAGCUCUAAAAAUGCUGAUGCCCAGGUCCCACUCCAGGGAUUUGGAUUUGAUUGAUCUGUUGUAAUUUGGGUUCUGGGAAUUUCAAAAGCCACUGCCCACCCCCCUGCUGACUUAAUAAGGAGCCCGUGCCGUGAUCCUGGAGACCCAGGAUCGAAUCCCACAUCGGGCUCUCGGUACAUGGAGCCUGCUUCUCCCUCUGCCUGUGUCUCUGCCUCUCUCUCUCUCUGUGUGGCUAUCAUAAAUAAAUAAAAAUUAAAAAAAAAAAAUAAGGAGCCCGUGGUGAGGACCACAGAUUCAAGGCCAGGGAUGCAUCUGCUGUAAGUGAUGUGUGUGCGCUCUGGGGUUUUAGAAAACAGCUCUGCCCUGUUAAAAUCAAAGGACUACUUCAGAUAACUCAGCUAUUUGUCUAAACUACAAUAGGAGGAAAUGUCUUCUUAGCAGAUCUAUCUUUAUGUCAGUUGCUUUUAGAAUAGGAGGUUGCUCCGGGCACAGCAGUUUGAUUUAGUCUGUGUUGAAAAUCAUUAAUGGCCUACAGAUACCAAAAAGGGAUGAAAAGAAUUUGCAAACAUGUGGAGUGUAUUAUACAUGUUUUCAAAUUUCUCCUAUGAUUAGAAAGGAAAACUGUAUUGCUGAAGACUUGAUUUCCUAAACUCAGGCCUCAGCCAUUUCCCUAAAUUAUCCCAAGUCUUUCCAAGACACUCAGCAUUCUCUGAAGGGGAUUAUUCCCCAUGUGAAGAGUAUGAGAUGGACGCCGAUUUCAAGGGAAUUCUGCUUCUAUUGCAGAAGUCUCACUUUCUAGAACCUCCGAUGACUAGGGAAGCUGCAGGAGCAGUAUGAACUAGUGGAGUCAGGGGAGCUCUGCAGUCAGGUGGAGUCAGGAGGGUCCCAGCCCAGCCACUUAGUAGCUCUGGGGCUUUGGACAGACUUCUUGACUUGGACGACAGUUGUAUAAACCUCUUGCAAGAAGAGGCAUAAGGGUACUGAUUACAAAAACAGCAGCAAUUCAUUCUUCCUGGCAGCGCACGCCCUCUGCAAUGAGAUUUUACAGCUGCUCCCUUUCAGAGGCAGACUCUCUUCAUCCAAACUUUGCAUCAGAUCUGGUCUUACUUGCUCUGGCCAAGAGAAUGCAGUGGGACCCUUGACAGUAGGCCAGUCUUAGAUGCUUCUGUUUUUCCUUUCAGAAUACAGCUGUCUCCAAGUCCAUGUUAGCCUUGGAGAGGCUCCAGGUCCAGCCUUAGCUGGAGGAUGAGAUGCCAUGAGGAAGAGAACCACGGUGCCCCCUUGACAGUCAACUCACCCCUCAGCAGCAGAGCCCCCUGGUCAACCAGCAGCUGACCACACAUGCAUGGAGGAGCCGAGCAGACACCAGACGGGUCCUGCUGAGCCCAGCCUAAGCUGCUGACCAGCUCAGUCAUGAGCUAGGUAAGUACUGGGGCGGGUUGUUACUCAAUAGCUAACUAAUACAUCAGUUGCAGAUAAGAUGUCAAGAUGCAAUGAUGUAUUAGUUAUAAGUUACUUGGCAAACAGUAGGCAUCCUAUAGGUGCUGAUUUCCUUCUUCCUUUAUAGAAAGUUGCAUCUCUUGAGUUAAACAGAAAUAAAUAUGUAGAUGCAGAUGUAUGUGAUUGGUGCUUAAACUCACACAAAACCGCACACUGCAAGAGGGAAUAGGUGACCAGAGCCUGACCACUAGGGCUCAAGGCCAGAUUGCAAAGUAAGAAGUUUCCUUUUAUUCCCUCCAAAUCUAAACUCUGGAGACCAAGGCUGAAGAUAGAUCUGAAGACACAGAGUUCCCCACCUUCCUCUCCACACUGUCUGACCUCUGGGAAGGGGGAAUGGACCCCCCAAGAAGCAAUUGGGAAGCUCUGGUCUACUUUGGGAAACUUCUUCUCAGGGCACCAUCUCUUCUCACCUUGGGCCAAGGAGAGAGGUUGGCAGGGAAGGGGUGACACCUCUGGAAGAGAAGGGGAUGUUCAGGCAAGUCACCUCCCUGAGGUCGAGAAGAGUCACCCUUCCAGGGGGGCAGCCUCUCAACAUGAGCACUCAGCACCUAGACUGUGGCUCCUCUAAGUUAUGAGGUGCUGAAAAGUGCAAAAUAGAGUGAAUUUCAAAGAUUCAAUACAAAAAAAAAGGGAAAAUAUUUCAUCAAAACUUUUCUGUUGAUUACACCUUAAGAUAAUAUUUUACAUAUAUUAGGCUAAAUAAGUUAAUAGUAUUACAGUCAGUUUCACCUGUUUCUUUUUAUUUGCUGUAACGUUGCUGAAAAUGUAAAACUACAGACGUGGCUCACCUCCUGUUUCUACUGGACAUUCCUGUCUGAGAGGACUGCCUCCUUUUCAAAGCUCGGGGUGCUUCCUUGGAAGAGCAGAAGCCAGGAAGGUUAGAAAAUCUGAAGUUUUAAAAGAAUCUGGCAUUUUACUGUCCCCAUUUGUGAAUAAGGGAAAUUAAUAAGGCUUUGAUUUUAAGGUUUAUAUUCAUAAAAAGCAUUCAUUUCAACAUCGUGCUUGGUAAUUAUUUUGCACGGGGAUUGCAGAAGCAGGGCAAAGACACUCUCCUCGGCUCCAGGCCUUUACUAUUUAGCUUCUCGCAAAUUGGCUCUAGGUCCAGAUAUUUCCAUGUUCCACAGACUCCCUUCCUCCAGGGUGAUUAAGGAAUAAGGCUGAAGUGCAGGUUGACACUCUCACAAGCCAGAGGACUUUUCUUUCUGUGGUUUACUAGCAUUUUUAGUUUCUAAUAUCAGAAAUGCCAAUUGCCCGCCACAGCUGGGAAAAAGGACAAGAUGGAUUGAGUCUAGAAUCACACCGCAGCCAACUUUCACAGGCAUGUGCAUUACCAAAGAGGGACAUGGCUUCCAAGAAUUCCAGUACGUUCACAGGACUUGGUCCAUACCAAGUAUUAGACUGUGACAGUCCCCCAGCUGCCAUCACUGGUAUAGAAAUGGGACCGUGUGCCGAAUCCACACAGGGCUGGGAUGCUACGAAGAGAGCAAAUCUCCACAAAAACACUAAAUACUAACGCUCUUCAAUGAAAGCAAGCAUGAUGGCCGUUAGUUGAUGCAAGGCAACUUAUUUUUCUUUUCCAAUAAACAUUUUCAAGGAGAGAAGCCCAGCCUCCAUGCAGCAGUCCUUCCAGGGCUACUGGGGGAUCCAACUGAAUUCAAAAGGAAUAAAGAUGAAAUCCACAUUUUAAUUGUAAGCAGAUGUGCCCUGAAGAACUUUCAGAGCCAUAAAUCCACGUGUAUAUUAAUCAUCACAGUACCGUGAGAUGCAGGGAGAUGAUAAAGCAUGUGCCACUUAUUACGUAUUUUUUCUCACCCCCUCUGUCAACUGCUUAAGUUCCUAAGUGUAGAGACUCUCUGAGAAAAAAAAAAAAUCCCAUUGACAUCAAUGUGGACAUUUAAUAUUAUAAGAUUACUUUUUGUUUUCAUUUUCUUUGUUAACUUUAAAGCCAAAGAUAUAUAGUUCUACAUCUAACAUAUUGCAUUUUCAUAGAAACUCUGAAUGUGAAAUUCUGAGUUCAAUGUGAAAAGCUUCCUUUCUUCAAUUACUAACAAUAAUUGCAAAAUUGCCCAUUCUACGAAGAAUACUCUUCCGGGAACUGUGGGGAGAUGGAAAAGAAAUAAUCAAUAUUGUUCCCGUGACACUGGCAAGUCCCACAAAGCUGGGGCAGAGAGAGAGUCUCUCUGGGGCUUAGCUUAGCACAGCGGGAGCUUAAUUAAGAGCUUGUUGAU